RNAcentral lists this ribosomal RNA (520 nucleotides) under uncultured Glomeraceae. RNAcentral describes it as "SSU rRNA". It matches the Rfam family "Eukaryotic small subunit ribosomal RNA", at positions 569 to 1092 of the family's 1831-position model. The record is from RNAcentral. Lineage: Eukaryota; Fungi; Glomeromycota; Glomeromycetes; Glomerales; Glomeraceae.
AGCAGCCGCGGUAAUUCCAGCUCCAAUAGCGUAUAUUAAAGUUGUUGCAGUUAAAAAGCUCGUAGUUGAAUUUCGGGAUCAAUUUGUCGGUCGUGCCUCGGUACGCACUGGCUUAUUGGUUUCUCCUUUCUGAAGAACCAUGAUGUCAUUUAUUUGGUGUCGUGGGGAAUCAGGACUGUUACUUUGAAAAAAUUAGAGUGUUUAAAGCAGGCUCACGCUUGAAUACAUUAGCAUGGAAUAAUGAAAUAGGACGUUUGAUUCUAUUUUGUUGGUUUCUAGGAUCGACGUAAUGAUUAAUAGGGAUAGUUGGGGGCAUUAGUAUUCAAUUGUCAGAGGUGAAAUUCUUGGAUUUAUUGAAGACUAACUACUGCGAAAGCAUUUGCCAAGGAUGUUUUCAUUAAUCAAGAACGAAAGUUAGGGGAUCGAAGACGAUCAGAUACCGUCGUAGUCUUAACCAUAAACUAUGCCGACUAGGGAUCGGAUGAUGUUAAUUUUUUAAUGACUCAUUCGGCGCCUUACG